GUAUAGUUCAAUUUAAAAUCUUAGAUUAAAUUUUUUUGGCAAGAGCACUUCAUAUCUGUAAUGUCAGUACAUGUACAGUACAAAGUCAGGCUGCUGUUGUGCUCUUUACAGAUAUACAAAUGUCUUAACACUCAACCACCAUCACGCCACCACAAUCCACAAAAACGCUCACAGCAACUCCAUUACGAAGAAUGGACUGAAGUUUCUAAUGAGUCUUCUGCAUUAUUUAUUUAGGCUUGUCAAAGGAAAAAGCAUGUGGUCUCCGAGUUGAUCCCAUUUAAAUAGACCAGAGUGCAUCUAACAGAAUGCCACUGCUGAUCAUUUUAAAUUCUCUUUAAGCUAGAGUUAAAACUAAAUAAUAAAACAUGUCUAAACUAAUAAAAAUCAUCACACAAUGAAGUGAGAACUCUUUAAAUAUCUGAAAAGGCACAGAGCACAGACUCUUGUACAUGAACAAUGAGGUACCUGAAGAUGUCAGACCAACGGCAAGAUUCAGGUUCUUUUGUGGCAAUCGUUCAGCUCCUGUCUGCCCCUCUUCUUCCUCCUGGCAUUAUAAAACCCAUCCUUUGUUUCCACACACCUGUAAUGCUCCAAUGCAGAUCACAUGCCUCCUUCAUCACACGAUCUCUGGAAACAAAUGAAAAAAAAAACAUCUUAAGAGAUAGAAUGUAUUCUCUUUAUUUUCUACCUGAUGUUCAUUUUUUCUUCCUUUUGAAAUGUGCAAAGAAACAUUCAUAUUAUCCAUUAUUCUUCAAAAUGAAAGAAGGAAACAUUGGGCAAUUAGUCAUAGCUGAUAUAAGUGUCCCUGAACUGUCGCCAGUGACAGUCAUAUACGAAAUCCUCAUUAAAUUUGAUAAUUUUCCACCAGAUAACAUACCAUACAUCCUAUUUCUCUGCCGUCUAAACUAAAGAGUAAAAUAAAUUAAGAUAUUUAAUCUUAAACAACGCUGACUAGUUUUAAAUAAAGGAGGCUUUGAGGUGACAUGAUUCAAGUAUUCAAUAUCCUUGAGUUGACAAGGGCAAUCCAAUAUACUUCCUCAAGAUCAAUAGUGAAGCCCUAGACCAGAGGACACAAAUGAAAACUGAGAGCAAGAGAACGUAAGACUGAGGACAGGGGCACUUUUUUACACAAAAGGUUAUUGAAUUCCUUCCUCUUCUCAACAGAACAAGCUACAUGGCCGAGAUGGCAUCACCUCAUUUAUAACUUUUAUUAUGUUCUUAUAUUCUUGCACAAUAUGAGAGGGGUCAUAGAAGUGUGCACGUCAUUAUAUGAAAAGCAACAAUCUUCAAACAAAUGUAUACAUAAACCAUUUUAAUUCCCUGUGGAGUCCGAUACUAUCCUGCGUGGGGGAUGCUCAACUAUGUUCCUCAGCCCUCUUGUCUUCUAUAAAAAUGAUCUUGAGAAGGUGAAAGUUGAGAGCUGCAACAAAAUAAGUAGAGGAUAACUCCAUGCGGGAAAGAAAACAUUUUUGGGCAUUUUCAGGUGUGCGUCUACAAAUUAAUCAGGAACCAAAAUGAUCCUUAAAUUUGGAUCUCCAUCUUCCACCAGCUGUUGACAGACUGAUUUCGUUUUCGAACCUGUUCGUUCAUUUACGGAUUUCAACAUUUUACACGUCUCCCCCAGAUUUCCAUUCAUAUGGGCAGUCUUUCACACCCGCUGUGUCUACUCUUGCAUGAUAUUCCUUUUGUUCUCCUUUACUUUAUAUCAAUGCAACAUUCAUAAGCGUCUCAUCCUCUUUCAAACCUGAAGAAGGCUCAACAUCUGAAAUGUGCAUUUUCUCUGCUUCUCAGAGAGGCAUUAACCUCUACUAGUUCCAUAUCUUGAAAAGGCUGAUUAAGAGAGGCAUAGAUAGAGAAACUCUGAUGGCUUAAUAGUGGAUAGUAAUCUAACAUACUGUAGACAGCCAUGCUGGUGGCCAAAUCUGAGAAAGUCAAGUGCAGGGAUGAUUAAAAGGGAUAACAUUUUUGAUAGCAUAGUUAUACCUUGGGGAACACUGCAUUAAAGAAAUUGAGGAUGAAGGGCAUUUAAGAAGUAAAAAAAAAAUCAAAUUAAAAUAAAUAUAUAAAGCAAAUCCCAUUUCAUGGAUGCAAGAGGGAAUGAAAACUCAAUUCUGCUUUCUCAAUCAAACUAAUGACCCUAUAAUAAUAUCUAAGGCCUUGAGACUUUUGCCAUAUCCCAGGUGUUCUAAUUUGGACAAAUAUACUUUCACUGUUAACAUCAUGACCUUCAAGAAUUAAGCUUUUAUUCCAAACGUGUUUGACAAAGAUCAAAUCACAACAGUAACUAAAUAUUUACUUGUAUUUUAAGUGUAUAAAUGCUGAUGUUUUAUAUGAAAUUGAUUUAAAUUAUGAGGUUGGUUACAAUACCAAGUAAUUAUAAUUAACGUAUUUAAACUGUACAAUUAUUAGCAUCUUUGUAAUCCCUGAGUGAUCAAUGUUUGUAUCAUGGCAGAUUCAUUCACAUAUGUUUGGUUUAAGUUGCACAUUUUUUUUGUUCUAUGAAAGAAAAUUGCAUAUUGUAACUUUUGAAUGUCUGUGUAUAUGUUGCCAUUUGUUAGGAUUGAUCGAUUCCUAGAAGUCAUAGAACACUCAGAAUUUACUGUUGUGACUUCUAAUUGUUUCAGAACGUUCAAGCCAUCACCACUACAACAUUAAUUCGGAUUAUGAACAUAGUCACAUGCCGAUAAAAGGAAAGACAUUGCAGUGGUAGUAUAUGACCUGGUCAAUAAUUGAGCAAUAAUUGACUCUUGUUUUAAAAGAUCAGCAACUCUAACCAAGUUCCAAUAAACAAAUGUUUUACCAGCUUCACCCUGUGUUUUCUUCCUAACUUAAACUGACAAACCCACUGAUGCAUGCCCUUUUACUAUAAAUCAGCAUUCACACCUGCUUAGUAUAGUAAAGGUCAUACAAUGCUUUCUAAUGAAUUUAGAGGUAGUGUUUGCUAUCUGAAUAAUCUUGUGUCAUGUCAUUUAAUACACUAAUGAAAAAAUAAAUGAAGUGGAUAACUGUGUUUUUUUCAAAGACUGGAAAAAAUAAAUAUGCUGAAAGAUAUUUUGCAAUGGAUAUAACUAUUCACUAUUACUACCAUCAUGAGAAAGGUCUGUUCAUUUGUAAUACAACGUCCUCUCAUAUUUUACACUGCACUGUAAUUACACUGUAUUUGUUUCAGUCCUGAACUGCAAUUCAAUGAUGCCUUUGUAAUGCUGCUAUUAAUAUAGUAAAGGUGCAGCAUUUGUUGCUAAAAAUGAAUGUAUACAAUAUGGUCGCACAUUAAGACAUACAGGGCAACUCUUUGUAAGACACAACUCGUAAUUUAAUGUAUUAACAUUAGCAUUUUUCUCAAUAUGUUCCUUUCAGAAUUUUAGUGUCCCCUUGCGUUACCAAUGACACCACUGAGUUAUAAGAACUUAAAUACUGAUAUGUGCUGGGGGGUAUGGUAUCAAUAAGGAUUGACAGCCACCAAUCAGGAAAUCAUUUAGCCUAUACGGGCCUACAACCAUGAUCAAAUGAAGACAGCACAGUUGCAAGCCACAAAGAAGACAUGGGAAGACCACCUGUUGAGUGGCUCCCCUAGAGUCAAUUAAACAACACAAGAAUCUGAAAUCUUUUACUAAUGCUGAAGUGGAAUGUGAAAUGGCCGAGCAGGUAAGCUGUGGUGGGCUAGAACCAGUAAAUUGGGUUGAUAUUCCAUAACGUUCCCUAACCACAUACAGUAUACUGAACUCUGACUCUAUGAUUGGACAGAAGCCUGUGUGAAAAAUGACCAAACAAGGUAUUAAAAUAGCAAGCUAAAAGGUGAAUGUCUGGUUCUGGAAAAGCAUCUUGCUAUCGGAAGUAGUCAGCCAUAAUACUCUCUUGUAUCCUCCAGAGCUGAAGAAAUAAGACCCUGAGUUCCACCUUCCAACACACCGAAGCUCCAGGAGUUUGGGAGGAUUCCUACCCUUUGAGGACUAAUUUAACAAGAGUUUUUUAGCACUGAACAGACCAAAAGUGAAGUUGGGGAUAAUGAGCUACAUUUUUACAUUUGAAUUACGUAUUUCUUUUUAGGAUCUAUCAGAGUGAGCAUUUAUCUCUAUAUAUCUGGGACGGUGUUAAGUACUGACCUUUCAUUAUAACAGAAAAGGUACUUUUAGAACAAUCCUGCACUUGUAAAAACUUAAUUUUUCUGUAUAAUAAAUUGUCUAAAAUCACAUGUAUCGAAUUAUUGAAAAUAUCCUCAUAGAAGGAUUCCCACAAGAAUAAAUUAACUUCACCAAAGGAAGUUUUAUUUUGUUAUUAAUUGCUACUCACAAGCAUUGGCUAAUGGGAUGGAACUCUG
Molecule: long non-coding RNA, 4318 nt
Organism: Lepisosteus oculatus (spotted gar)
Lineage: Eukaryota; Metazoa; Chordata; Actinopteri; Semionotiformes; Lepisosteidae
Source: Ensembl